Molecule: transfer RNA, 76 nt
Filed under: Candidatus Ichthyocystis hellenicum
Lineage: Bacteria; Pseudomonadati; Pseudomonadota; Betaproteobacteria; Burkholderiales
Description: bacterium 2013Arg42i tRNA-Ile(gat)
Rfam family: tRNA
About the family: Transfer RNA (tRNA) molecules are approximately 80 nucleotides in length. Their secondary structure includes four short double-helical elements and three loops (D, anti-codon, and T loops).
Source: RNAcentral
GGUCUAUAGCUCAGCUGGUCAGAGCACACGCUUGAUAAGCGUGGGGUCGUUGGUUCAAGUCCAACUAGACCCACCA